This 28-nucleotide non-coding RNA is filed under the name Homo sapiens (human). The record is from RNAcentral. Lineage: Eukaryota; Metazoa; Chordata; Mammalia; Primates; Hominidae.
UGUGCUGACCAAGCCCUGCAGACUGGGU